RNAcentral lists this long non-coding RNA (15381 nucleotides) under Gossypium raimondii (Peruvian cotton). RNAcentral describes it as "long non-coding RNA (GRAI_LNC003109)". The record is from RNAcentral. Lineage: Eukaryota; Viridiplantae; Streptophyta; Magnoliopsida; Malvales; Malvaceae.
CGACUAUGGGAUCACCGAGGUAAGUAUUCACUCCUUCUUAACUUGUUUUCAUUAUUUGUUAAAAGAAAGUAAAAAAGAACGAAAUCGAGAAAGAAAACAAUAAAAGUGCCGGAUCUACCUUUAAAAAAACGAUUUUAGAGAAAAGUUCCCUUUUGUAUUCAAUAUCUGUAUGCUUUUUUUGUAUAUUCGAUCGUCCCCCCUUUUUUACAAUGUUCUUUGGUCUUUUUAUAGUAUCUAUUUACAAUAAAAAGAAAAGAAAAUCCAAAAAUAAAAAUCUACCAAUCGCCCUCGCUCUGCCUUUUUAUUUUUCUCUGUGCCCCUUUUUUGUUUUGUGGUCUGUUUUCUACUGCGUUUGCUCGUCUCUGGCAGGUACUGUGUGUAGAGGUUGCGGAUGUGGCAUGUACGGAGGCGAAGGCGCACGUACGAGGCUCGUGCGAGCGGUGCUACGUGCAUGCGAGGGGACGUUUGCUGCGGUGCUGGUUGGGGCUGAUGCUAGGGUUUCCUCUUCUAUUGUAAUCGGGUCUGGGCUAGGUUGAUUUGGGCUUGUUAUAUUGGGUUUAGUUUGUUUAUCGGGCCUUUGUAUUAUUUUGGUAACUGAUCUGGGCCAAUUUGUAAAUGGACCUUUUCGCACUGAAUUUAAUAUUUUUCCUUUUUUGUUUUGAUUUUUUUUAUUUUUUUAAUGGGCCCCGGGCAAAUUGGGCCUGUUACAGCUGCUCCUCUUUGCUCAUUGUCGUGUAACAGGAAUAGAGCAAAGACUAAAAAGAACCAAUUUUUCCUGGUUGUGCUUGGACUUUGGUGCUCCUCUUUUUCGAGUUGCCUCAUUACAUCCUACUGUAUCUGCAGAGGUAUUGGAAUUGGUACUUCGAUUCACUCCACUGCAACGUCGGGGAGAUAGGAUUACUAGCUUCAAUCUUUUCGGUAUUCCCUUGCUGGUCAAGGAAAUAGGACUUGUGGCUUAAAUCUGUUUCCCUACUCCUGGGGAAGAUGAGAUUCGCCGUUUUCGAUCUGCUCCGCUACUGAUUAGGGAGGUAAGAUCUGCAAUCUCCAACCUAUUCCACUGCUGGUCAGGGACAUAAGACGUGUGGCUUAAACCUAUUUCCUUACUCUUGGGGAAGAUAAGAUUCACCGUCUUCGAUCUGCUCCGCUACUGUUUAGGGAGGCAAAAUCUGCAAUUUCCAACCUAUUCCACUGCUGUUCAGGGACAUAGGACUUGUGGCUUAAAUCUGUUUCCCUACUCCUGGGGAGAAUAAGAUUCGUCGCUUAGAUUUGUUUCCUUACUCCUGGGGAAAAUAAGAUUCUCCACUUAGAUCUAUUUCCCUAGUUCUGGGGAAGAUAAGAUUCGCCGCUUAGAUCUGUUUCCCUACUCCUGGGGAAGAUAAGAUUCGCCGCUUAGAUCUGUUUCCCUACUCAUUGGGAAGAUAAGAUUCACCGCUUAGAUCUGUUUCCCUACUCUUGGGGAAGAUAAGAUCCGCAAUAUUCACUGAUAUGUUCUCUAGGGAACAUAACAUGUGUAAUGAACCUAUUUAUGCCUAAUAGUUAGGAUGGCAUGAUCAGAAUAAAUCUAAUGCUCCUAACUAGACAUGAGUGAAUGGUAUUUUCCUGAAUGCAAUAUGUUGUCGUAUUAGUCAAAAUCUUAUUUAAGGCUUUUAUCAUAACCGCGCUUUAACACCCUCCUUCCUGGUUGGUGCCCUCAACAAAAAAUUUAAUUAAAUUGCCCCCGCUGUAAGCCUUCAAGCUCAAUUCAUUGGGUUGUGUUCAAUAUGCAACUCAAAAAAAUGGGGAGCUCUGGUCCUUUCUUCAUAUUCUAUCACAAUUGAAGGAUACUGAACGUGUAAACCUUUGGUAAACCACUCUCAGGAUGUCAUGCUUAGCACAAAGAAUUUUCCUCCAAGGAGAUCUCUCUUUUCUAACUCAUGACUAUUGCUGACAUUUCAUUCAAUUGACGCUUCCGUCAAUGAAGUCCGAAGGGACUGUUUAAAAUCAUAUUUUUUCUUAGAUUUCUGCCCUUUAAAUUUGGUUCAUUCUAAACAAUAGUCCUGUUUCAGAUUAUUGUAUUAUUUAGAAAAUUUUAGAGUAAUGUGCAAAACUUACUUUGUGAAAGUUCGGUAGUCCAUUAAUCAUUAUUCCAAUGCAACAUUUUACUGAAAGAUUAUGACUAUGGAUAAAUGUUGGUUCUAAGCAUAGCUCGAAAGAAAUAAAAUAUCAACAAUAGGGAGAGAAGAAUAACAAAUAAGUUGAUUGAGAAUGUGUAUAAUGAUAAAAUGUAUUAACACAUUCAAUACAAUAAGAACUAGGUGCCCAAGUUAUCGCAGUUUGAAUUUCUCUGUACAAACUUCCGAAGGCUAUUCUAAGUUUAGCAUGUGUUUAGGAGAUCUGCAGUACUCUGUCGAUGCUCCAAGAUAUCGUAUGCCCUUUCUUGUUGGUUCAGGUAUAGCAAGAUUAUCGUGUGCCCUGAUCAAAAUUUGAACAGUUCCAAUCUUCUCAUGCCCUUCUCUGACCAAUAUUUGAGCCGCCCUUUCUCAGCUUUUCGACUCAAAUCCCCUUUGAUCUCAAUGCGUCCUUUGCGGGUUUUCACAUUGGCCUCUCCAAAAUUUUUUUUUUAGGAAGCAAAUGCCCUUUGCGGGUUUUAACUUUGGUCCCCUUCUUUCAAGUGAAGUAUUUUUUUACAGAAUCUGCGUUUACGGGGUUUGGCAAACUUUUACCAUCCAUCUCACUUAGGAUCAAAGCUCCACCAGAAAAGGUCUUCUUUACAACAUAAGUACCCUCCCAAUUUGGCAUCCAUUUUCCUCUAAAGUCCUUUUGCAUAGGAAGGAUCUUUUUUAGCACCAAAUCUCCUUCGCGAAAUUCUCUAGGGCGAACCUUUUUGUCGUAGGCUCGCAUCAUUCGUUUCUGGUACAAUUGCCCAUGGUGAAUGGCUCUCAACCUCUUCUCCUCUAUUAGGUUCAACUGAUCAUAGCGAGAUUGGACCCACUCGGCUUCGUCCAACUGGAGUUCAGAUAAUACCCGUAGAGAGGGGAUCUCAAAUUCAAUGGGUAGUACUGCCUCCAUUCCAUAAACUAGAGAAAAAGGUGUUGCCCCGGUAGAAGUUCUAACAGAUGUUCGAUAGGCUGGGAGAGCAAAUGAUAACUUCUCAUGCCAAUCUUUGUAAGUCUCAGUUAUUUUCCCCACAAUUCUUUUAAUAUUCUUAUUGGCCGCCUUUACUGCACCAUUCAUUUUUUGACGAUACGGCGAUGAGUUAUGAUGCUUGAUCUUAAAUUGGUUACAAACCUCAUCUAUUGUGUUAUUGUUCAAAUUCAGCGCAUUGUCGGAUAUGAUUCUCUCAGGCAUUCCAUAUCGACAAAUGAUCUCCUUUUUCAAGAAUUUGCAGACUGCUGACUUCUUGACAUUUUCGUAUGAAGCAGCUUCUACCCACUUGGUGAAGUAAUCAAUGACUACAAAGAUAAAACGAUGCCCAUUAGAAGCCUUUGGUGAUAUUGGCCCAAUGACAUCCAUACCCCACAUGGAAAACGGCCAUUGAGAGGUCAUAACAUGAAGUGGCAAAAGGGGUGCAUGCAUCCUGUCUCCAUAAAUCUGACAUUUAUGGCAUUUCUUGGCGUAAUUAAUGUAAUCCCCUUCCAUAGUGGACCAAUAGUAUCCAAAUCUCAUGAUCUGUCUGGCCAUGGUGAAACCAUUGGCGUGCGUCCCACAGAUACCCUCAUGGACCUCCUCCAAAAUUUUUUUAGCUUCCACGGCAUCCACACAUCUUAACAGUAUAGCACUUCCCUGUCUAAGACAUAUUCGACAGCUAUUCUCCUCAGAGUUCUCUUGUCGUUCUCUGUUGCUCGACUAGGGUACUCCCGAUUCUUUACAUACUGUAGAAUACUCUGAUACCAAGGGUGAUCGUCUUUUCCUUGCUCCUCAAUAUUAUAACAAUGAGCUGGGGUUUCAUAGAUACUCAUCUGAAUAGGCCUUAUUACUUCAAGCCUGUUCACCAGAAUCAUCGAAGCUAACGUAGCCAAUGCAUCAGCCAUUUGAUUUUCCUCUCGUGGGAGAUAACUGAAGGUGAUAUCGUCAAACUCGUCAACCAACUCGAGGACCAGCAUUCUAUAACUGAUUAACUUAGGGUCUCCAGUUUCCCUUUCCCCUUUAAGUUAGUAUAUCACCAAUACGGAAUCCCUAUAUACUCUUAGCACUUUGAUGUUCCGCUCGAUGGUUGCGCGAAUGCCCAUAAUACACGCUUCAUAUUCUACCAUAUUAUUUGUGCAAUCAAAGUCUAACUUACUAGCCACAGGGUAAUGAUCUCCACUCGGGGAUACCAGGACUGCCCCAAUUCCAUUACCUAUAGCAUUCGAAGCUCCGUCGAAAUUUCACCUCCACUCAUGAUCCAUCUGAGGAUUUUCUUCAGUGCUUGCUACGCACAUCAAGUCCUCGUUUGGAAAAUCGAAGUUUAAGGGCUCAUAAUCCUCCAAGGCUUUACUUGCCAGGAAAUCAGCUAUUGCACUCCCUUUUAUGACCUUCUGACUUACAUAUACUAUGUCAAACUCAGAGAGCAGGAUCUGCCAUCUAGCCAUUCUCCCAUUUAAGGUAGUUGAUUCCAUCAUAUAUUUUAAAGGAUCCAACCUUGAAAUCAACCAAGUCGUAUGAUACUACAUAUACUGCCUUAGUCUUCGUGUCGCCCAGAUUAAAGCACAACACAAUUUCUCGAUUGACGAAUAUCUCAAUUCACAGCCAGUGAAUUUCUUGCUGAGAUAAUAUAUUGCCCUUUCUCUCUUUCCCGUUUCAUCGUGUUGGCCCAAUACACAUCUCAUGGAAUUCUCGAACACCGUUAGAUACAAUAUUAAUGGCCUAUCCGAACUUGGCGGUGAUAAUACGGGAGUAUUGGUCAAAUAUUACUUUAUCUCGUCGAAAGCUUGCUGACAUUCCUCAUCCCAAUCACCCGGAUUAUGCUUAUUUAAAAAACGGAAUACUGGAUCACAUUUCUCCGUCAAUUAUCCAAUGAAUCGAGUAAUGUAAUUCAGUCUUCCUAGGAUACUUCAGACUUCUUUUUGAGUGCGCAGAGGAGGCAGGUUUCGGAUUGCCUUUACUUCGUUCGGGUCCACCUCAAUCCCCCUCUUACUAACAAUAAAGCCUAAUAACCUCUCUGAUCUGGCUCCAAAUGUGCAUUUUGCAGGGUUAAGUUUGAGCUGAAAUUUCCUCAAUCUCAAAAAUAAUCUUUUCAAGACUUGAACAUGCUCCUCUUCAGUUUUAGAUUUGGCAAUCAUAUCAUCAACAUAGACUUCGACCUCCUUAUGCAUCAUGUCAUGAAACAAGGUCACAAUAGCCCUUUGAUAUGUUGCUCCCGCAUUCUUCAAUCCAAAUGGCAUUACUUUGUAACAAAAUAUUAUUUUUCUUAUAUCCUCAGGGUGCAUCUUUAUUUGAUUGUAUCCAGAAAAGCCGUCCAUGAAAGAGAAUAGUGAGUAUCCCGCCGUAUUUUCUACCAAAGUAUCAAUGUGAGGCAACGGAAAAUUAUCCUUUGGACUAGUCUUAUUCAAAUCCUUGUAAUCCACGCACAUCCGUACCUUUCCAUCUUUCUUGGGAACAGGGACGAUGUUAGUACCCAAUCUGAAUAUUUGAUCUCUUGUAAGAACCUAGCAUUGAACUGCCUUUUGACCUCUUCUUUUAUUUUUAGCUCAACAUCAGGUCUCAUCCUCCUUAACUUCUGCUAAAUCGGUUUACAAUCUUCUUUUAUGGGUAGACGAUGUACCACGAUGCUAGUACUUAACCCGAGCAUAUCUUGGUAUGACCAUGCAAAAACAUCUUUGAAUUCUCGGAGUAAUUCAGUGAGGUCUUGCUUUGUCUUUGCGGCGAUUUCAAUUCUAAUUUUUACCUCAUUUCCCUCCUCUCGGCUCAAAAUUUCUAAUGAUUCCCUAUAAGGUAGGAUUUGCUCAUCCUCUUGUUCUACCAUUCUCGACAAGUCUGGAGAUAUACCACAGUCUUCGUCAUUUUCAAAGUCGUGAGAUUCCUCUAAACACAUGUCUUGCUCAAAAAGAAGCUCCAUGUUUGAAACAGCGUCAUUCAUGUCGUUGAUAUCUGAGGACCUAUAAGGGCAUAUCAAAGAAUAUACCAAAAAUAUAUAAAUUUAUGAAUGAUUAUUUAUACAAUAAGGUUACAAAUGAAAGAAUUAUUUGCAGGACAAUCAAUUAGAAAGUGCUUAUUUGUAUAAAAGAAAAAGAAUAAUUGCUCGAAAUGAAUGUAAAGAUGUAUUUCAUUAGAAUAACGAUGUUCAGGCUCAAGCCUUUUUCACAAAAGAUUUCCUGUCAUUUUCAGGCUUAAACAACAAGAAUGUUCUGAGUAUUACUCUGAAUAAGCCCUAAAGACUACAGGGAUUUCUUCCGCAGUCCAGUUGUUUAGCUCGCUUCCAGUUUCGUAAGGACAGAUCUCUAACGAGGCUUUUUUCUCAGAUGUUUCUAUAGCAUUGAUAUGAACAUUUUCUAACAUCUCUCCAAUGUCUUUGCUUUUGGGCACCCCACGUUCAGGAUGAAUAAAUCCACCCAAUACAAAAGAUGUACAUAUGUGGGGAAAGGACAUAGGCUCCCACUUAACCUCUUUUCCGCUUAAACGUGUCCUUCUUCUCUCUUGUCUUUUUUCUACCUCUUUCUUCUUCUGCUUCAUGUCUGGCUUGUAUCCUAACCCAUAACUGUCAAACUUUUCCUUCAGUAUCGGUGCUUCAAUCUUUCCUUGAAGAUACUUUCCCAAUCCUUUUCCGGGUGAAGCCCCUCUUCCAAAAAUCAAUUGCAGCCCCAUCUCUGUGCUCCUGGGUAUUUUCGGUACUGGAUUUCUGCUUCCUUCAGCAAUAAACAUCGCGUUCACAAAUUCUAAUGACUGAAAAGAGCAUUCCACUGCCUCAUCAUCAAUCUCCACAUAAGGUGCUUCGCCAGUUAUUGUUGCGAUGAUAUCUUCCUCUGUACUUAUUGUUAUCACCCGACCCUCUGAUACUAUCUUCACCUUCUGAUGUAGCGAUGAAGGUACUGCCCCAGCUGAGUGUAUCCAUGGCCUUCCCAAUAAACAGUUGUAGGAAGGCUUAAUAUCCAUCACCAAGAAGUCCACAUCAUAAGUAAUUAGGUCAAUCCUUAACGGUACCUCAAUUCUACCCAUAACCUUCUUUUCAGUUCCAUCAAAUGCCCUUACUAUACUCUGGCUCGCUUUCAUGUGGGAAUUGUCCACGUGUAACCAAAUAAGAGUAGAUAAAGGCAAUACGUUUAGUGCAGAUCCGUUAUCAAUCAGGAUCUCCAAGAGUAUGUACCCUUUGCAUCGGGCAGUGACGUGCAGGGCUUUAGUGGAACCCCUUCCUCUAGAUGGUAUUUCGUCAUCACUAAAGAAGAUAAAAUUGUCAGCAUUUAUAUUGUUGACCAACCGAUCCAGCUUGUUCACCGAAAUAUCAUCCGCCACAUAUAUUUCAUUUAGUACUUUCAAUAGUGCAUUUCGAUAUGCUUCUGAACUUAAGAGCAAAGCUAAUAUAGAAAUGCGGGCUGGCUGUUUGCGUAGCUGUUCCACAACGCUAUAUUCGCUGUGUUUCAAAAAAUUCAGAAAUUCUUUUGCCUCAUCCUCUUUUACUGGUUCAUUAACCAAUGACUCAACUUCCACGGUUUUCUCUUUCUUCUGCUCUCUUUUCUAAUUCUCUUCUCUUGACGGUUCUGCCUGUGCGUCAUAUCGCUUCCCAUUACGUGUGUAAGAACCUAUUUCCUGAUUUCUUUCUGCUUCUUUUCUCAAGAUUGUCACGUUACAUCCAUAAUUCCAUGGUACCAUUUUGUCAUCCUUGUAUGGGAAAUUUGAUGGUUUCUGGAUUAUAAUUUUUGGUGUUGUACGGACACUAGACCCAUCGCUCCGAGGGCGUGAAAUGAUGACCACAGGAUGAUUCAUUUCCGUGGUCUUCGCUGCCAACUCUGAUGCGUAAACAUUUCAUUUACCCUCUGCUUCUUCAUAAAAUCUCAUCUCUUUGUUGUCCAUCAUGCUCUGGACCAAAGCCCUGAAUCCCUCACACUCUUGAAUUUCAUGUCCUGCCUCAUGGUGGAAUUCACAAUAGUUUUCAUCUUCACAUCUUUCUUCAUAAUUUGAAAUAACUAGCCCUCUCAUCGCCAUUUGUCUCCAAACCCACUUCAACGGAGUUUUUACUUCAGUGAUGUCAUUCUUGACCUCUUCUCCCCUACUUUCGCUCAUCAAAUUCACUCCCUUAUCAGUAUGAUUGGGUAGCGAAUUUUCUGCAUUAGGUGAGUCAUCAAACUUAACAACACCCAUGCUAAUAAACUUUUCGACUAGCUUCUUGAAAGCAGUGCAGUUUUUUAUUGAGUGCCCUGUAAUUCCGGCAUGGUAAUCACAUUGGGCGCUCGCAUCGUACCACUUAGGAUACGGGGGUUGCAAAGCGGUCAAGUAAUGGGGAGAAACUACGUGUGUGUUAAACAAAUUCUGAUAUAGCUCUUUGUAUGACAUCGGAAUUGGUGUGAACUGGGGCUUCUCAGUACCCUGCCUCACACCAGAUUCUUGUCUCGUUGAACCCUGUUGACCCGCAAUCACCUUUCUCGGCUGGUUCACCAUAAUUGACUUGUUGUAUGCAUUUAUAUUGCUCACUUCAUUUUCUUUUCUUCUCGAGGCUGACCUUUUAUUGCUUUUUCCUGCUUCUAUUUUCCCGUUUCUUAUGGCAUUCUCAAUCAUUUUACCAUUCAUUACUAUAUCUGAGAAACUUUUGGUUGCACUUCCUAGCAUGUGCAUAAUGAACGGGGCUCUUAAGGUAUUGAUAAAGAGUAUUGUGGCCUCUCAUUCUAAGAGCGGUAGUUGGACUUGGAUGGCAAUUUCCCUCCAUCUUUAUGCGUACUGUCUGAAACUCUCACUUGGUUUCUUCUCCAUGUUUUGUAGUGUAAUUCUAUCGGGGGUCAUAUCCGUUACAUGGCUGUACUGCUUCAUGAAUGCCUGUGCUAGGUCCCUCUAUGAACCAAUCUUGGUACAACUCAAUUGAUUGUACCAUUUAGACGCUGCCCCUACUAAAAUGUCUUAAAAACAGUGGAUUAACAGCUGAUCGUUAUUGACGUAGCCAGUCAUCCUUCUACAGAACAUAGUGAUGUGGGCCUCGGGGCAACUAGUUCCAUUAUAUUUCUCAAAUUCAGGCAUCUUGAAUUUAGGAGGUAGUACCAAAUCUGGGACCAAGCUUAGAUCUUUGGCGUCGAUUCCCUGAUUACUAUCAGCGCUCUCCAAGGCUUUGAACUUUUCUUCCAACCACCUAUACCUAUCCUCCCAUUGUUUUGGUAAUUCUGCGCUUGCUUUUCCUUCUUCAGCUGUUUCAUCAAAAUUCGGAAUAGUGGGAUUGAUUAGGUUUUCUCCCAGGUUUAAACUCGAUUGUCCUUGAAAAUUUGUGGCACCAGUUUGUAAUUGUUGCGGCCUAAUUGUGACGGACGGUCCUCUUUGGUACACUUCAGUUUGGGUUCAUGCAUUUGGUGGCGUGAAACCCGGAGGAUACAAUGGAUCCUCGCUACCCUCUCCAUGAUCGGCCAUAGGGCCCUUUCCUUUAUCUACUCCUCCCGUCAAUAGAUGGGUCAAUUCAGCCAUAGCAUCCUUUUGAGAUUUAAUCAACUUUUCUAUCAUGUCUUCUUGAAUUUUAUCCAAUCGCUCUUGCAUUUAUGCUUGUAAUCGUUCUUGCAUAUCCCACUACAUUUAUUCCAGUUUCUCUAGUCUUUGGUCCAUUUCUUUAGUUUUUUGUCGAGUACCGUAUUGAUGCUUAAUGGGUGAGCUUUUGUUGGUUUCCAGGUUAAUUGUAAUAAUUUAACCAAUUAGGGUCUUUUGGUGGACUUUAAUACAUAUGAUGCAAUGUGAUGCAAUGCAUGAAUGCAAAAAGGUGUCGAUUCUGAUUUAAUUUCAUUUAGAAAGCUUCAUUUGGAUAACAGCAUUCUUUACAUAAAAUAGAUUACAUAUACAAUUUUGCCCUGAUGCUCAGAAUUUUAAUCUUUUUAAGCAGCGAAGCAAGCUCUCUUCCCCGGUCUGAUUUCAGCUCGUACUUUACGCUCAAAGUAUCAGCUUAUAUUGCUAGGGUCUACAAGUAAUCGGCUACCUCCCGAAUCUGGGUCACAGCUUCUCCCAUGACAUGAUCUCUGUCUCUAACUUGGCUUUGAUAAUAAUAGAGCUGUUCUUUCUGACGUUCUUCAUUUUCUUUAAAAAAUGCAAUCCGCGUAUCACAAUCUUGUAGCCUCGCAUCUAACUCUUCCACUCUUUUCUUUGUUUCUUCAAUCUUGUUCAAGCUCGCUCUUAAUUCCAUCGCGGUAUUACGAUUUCGGUAAUGAUGAAGAGACAUUUCAAGUUCAGCUAUUCGUGCCUUUAAUUCAUCUGUCACACCCGGCUUUCUAACAGAAUCCUCUCCAGGGUCUGGUUUUGUAUUUGAGUCUCUUGCCAUUUCUUUUCCCAUCCAUCAGCCUUGUCUCUUUCUUCUUGGAUUUCUAGUCGCCAUUACUCUGAAGUCUUUCCCAGCCCCGCGGUUUUCAUUGAUACCCGUAACUUUUUGUAGUCUGUCUUUAAGCUAUCCAGAUCCUCUUCUACUUUAUUAUUCCCUUUCUUUAAUUUUUCGGCCUCUAACUUUUGGAUGUCCACGUCUAGUCUCAAAUGCAUCUUCUCUUCUUCCAACCGCUCUAUUUUUUUUUGAGUUAUGAAUUCCUCUUUUCGAAAUCUUGUUUUAUAAUCUCCAACUCUGAUGGGACUACUUGUAGGUACUCUUCCAUUGGUCGAACACCCUCCAAGUUUAACUCUGGAAUGUUAUCAUUAAUUCUCUUAUUUCGCCAUUCACUGUAUUCUAGAGUUGUCAUUGAACCCACAGCUAACCUUUUCAUCCUAUGAACCUGAUUCCAAGCCUGAAAAAUUUCUUUCACCCUUCUCUUGUAAUUGUCUCCCCAGUACGAGAACUCACAUUAAGCUAAACCUUGCGUUGUCGGCACAAACUGUCUUGAAUUAUAUUGCCUUAGGACCAACAAAGGUGCAUACCCAACGACUCCCUAAAUCUCUAGCAACGGGACCCAGUCAAAGCUUCCACAACGGUAAAGAAUUUCAUUAGGAAUCAACCAGGGAGCUCUCCAUUCCACAUCAUCAUCUUGAAGAUUUUGCAGGAUUGCUGUCCAAUUUUCUUCUGAUAUGUCGUCCCUUCUUGGCGUAGCCACUAUCUCUUUUAACGGGGAGUAAUGCCCAGAGAAAAUUCGAUACGAAACUUUGUCGACCUUCUAGAAAUGACUACGGAACCAGGCUAACAAUAAUUGCACACAACCUAUGAAUCUGCCUUCCCCAGCUCGCCUACACGCAUUCAGAGAUCUAAACGUUUCAGCUAAAAUCGCAGGAACAGGCGUGACCCCUUUACUCAACCGAUCAAAGAGAUAUGAAACCGCCUCGCCAACAUGCCCCAGCGCUCUAGGGAAGAUCACUAACCCGUAGAUACUCAAAGCAAACACGUCGACCUUCUUUUUCCCAUCCGGAUGCGCUAUAAUCAAGUCCCACAAAUUUUUCCAUGGAAUACAUUUACACUCCCCUUUCUGCUUGAUCCUGGUCGUAAUCCACUGCUCGCUCAUGCCAGUAAUAUUCAUCAGCUUCUUCCAAAAUGUCGGGACGUACGCGGCUCUAGAAUAUGCUUUAUCUACCUGAAGCCUGGGACAAUGUAGUAAAGCUGUAUAUUCCUCUACUGUAGGCACCAGAUCUACUUUGCCAAAAGUGAAACAACUAUAUGCAGGAUUCCAAUAUUGAGCAAGAGCCCGAAACAAUCGCUCAUCUACCCUGACAUCAAGCAAAUACGGCAAAUCUCCAUAAUUGGAAUAGAACAACUGCUUGGUCUCAUCAUUCCACUUAUCCCAUAUUUCUGUCAACUCCUGAAGGCUAUUUUGCGUCACGCUAAUACGAGUGUUGUCCCACAGCUCUGACACAUAAUCUUUAGCUAGACUGUCUCCCUUUUCCAAUUGCACAUUCUCUGACUAUAUACGGACCAUGGCAUUGUCUUCCACCUUAUCAAGAAAGUCGUUCUCCAUGACAAACUUUCUAAUUUUAACAACCGAACUUGAAUCGACACUCUUUUGAAUAUGAAAUGACAUGCAAACAUAUCAAUAAAACACCAUAAGUCAGUAUAACAUAUCAAUAAAAUUGGCAACAAAAUUAAGAGAAACAAGCAUUUACAUGAGCAAUCCUUAGAGUUUGGGGAAUUAUACCUAAGCUGGAUUCCUAGGCUAUCUAUAUGCGGUUUGGUUCUAAAUUCGAGGUACCCGAACCAGCAGAUUCCUCAGUCUUCACCUAUUAUAGACUCAUACAGACCAAGUUCGGUUCAGGGGAAUAUAUUUCCCUAUGGCUGCACGGAGAUGAAAAUCUCACGAAGACAUAGGUACGGAUGUACUCCGAAAGUGAUCCACUAUCCUGCACGGAGGUGAAAACCUCACGAAGGAGUAGCUUCUCACUCCCACUUAAAAAGGGUAAGACUAAAUAGUCUUUAUGCAAUAUGAUGACAAGUUAUAAAACACAAUAAUCAUACAAACAUAUGCAAAGAAAAUAUCAUAAAAUUAAAUAUUUAAAAUUUGACAAUAAGACAAAAACAAUCAAUUUUACGGCCUGACUCUCUUGGUGUCCCCAGCGGAGUCGCCAAGCUGUCGAAACCAUUUUUAAAUUUUGAAAAAACGGAUAUCGACCUUUUUUAAAAAGAAAACUCUGGGACUCGCCACCGAUCUUUUAUUAAGGUGUGAUCGGUUCACCAUUUAAAAUAAAUUUUAGGUCUGCGAAAUUUUAAGAAAACAGGUUCGGGGGUCAGUUACGUACUAGGAAGGGCUAGCACCCUCGUGAUGCCCAAAAUUGGUACCGAAUUGAUUAUUUAAUGCCUUAGUGUCGAGAAUUUGAAAAGAUUUUAAAAUACGAUCUUUGAAGUUUAAAUUUGCGUAAAACAAAAAUGAAUAAUAAGAUGGACUCAUUUUGGAGUAAUAAAUUGCUACACUCAGUGAGUUAGGGUGCAACAAUUCGAUCUUUUAGAAUUAAAUGUAUACCCGUUUUAAGAAAAUCUUGAAUUCGCAGAAGGGUAUUUGAUGAUUUAAAUCGAUCGAGAAAUCCGAACCCAAUAAGUUAGGGAUCAAUUUCCCGAAUUUUUUAAACAUCAAACAUUACCUCCACAUUUAAAAAAAACUUUAAUUCAAGGUAGCAAAGCUGUCAGAUCCAGUGAGUUAGGGUCCAGGCUUCGAAAUCUCGAAAAAAUUAUUUGAAAACUAUGAUUUUAUUUUAAAGGCGUUAUUUACCUAAAUUCGACGAAAAAAAAUAAAGCCCAGUAAGUUAGGGCACAAUUUUCUCGAAAAUCAUCGGAUGUAGGGUAUUCUGAAAACUUAAAAAAAAUUAUUUUAAUACAUUAGUAAAAUGUAGUCUCUUAACAAUAUAACAUGGUUAGAUGUUUUCAUAAAACGCGAAAGGGAAAUUCAAAGACAAAAUAUACAUUAAUGAACGAUAAGCAACCAAUGAACUAACAUGAACGAGCAUGACAAUAAUAGUUUCAAACAUACAUCACAUAAAUAUUAACAUUAGUUAACAAGAGGAGGUUAAUUAAAAUUAAAGCAAAAUCACAUAACUCAAAUGAAACAUAUAAGCUUGAACCUAAUUUAGGGAAUGAAUAAACUAGAGAGUUGAAACAAACUUGAAUAACUUAACAUGUAAAAAAAUGAUUGUUUAAAAAUGUUUGAGGAAAAUAAAAUCUAUUUGAUAGUAUGAAAUUACUAUGGGUUAUAUACGUACGUAGGUAUACAUAUAUAUGAUGAAAAUAAUCAUAGAAUAAGUAAAUAUAUUAUUAUUACAAUAAGGUAUUAUUUGAAAGUGUAUGUUUAUAAAUCUAAAAUAUAAUGAAUGAAUUUACAUAAAAAACCUAAAAUGAAAUAAAUUUAUGAAAUAUUAAUAAUAAAAGUAAUAUGUCAUAAGAAAUGGCUAAUACAUAUAGAUCUUUUUUUUUUUAAAGAAAACUAAAGGAUGCAUGUAAAAUAAAAAUAAAUUAAUGCGUAUAUACGAAAGCAAAUAAGUAUGAAAUAUAACAUCAAACAUAAUGAUGAUAAAUGCAUAUAGUAUAAUACUACUACUAAUAAUAAUAAAUAGAAGAAUAAUAAAAAGGGGUAAAUCACAAUCAAAAUCAAAUCAUCAGGAAAUAAAUGAAAUAUGAAUAAAACGGAGGACCCUACUGCAGUGUGCGAAUUAUAUGGGGGCCGAUUGGGAAAUAUCCCACUUCCCCAAAACGCAACACUUCAUAGUAGGUUAAAAUGGAACGAAAACAAAAUGUGUGGGUUAAAUCAGAGAAGGAAAAGGGACUUGAUUCAAAAGAAAACAGAAAAGGGGAGGGCUGGCCGCGCAAAUAUCCCUCCCUACACCAGAAUGCGCGGGUCAAGCUACGCCUGGGUCAGGUCAUCGGGUCGAGAGCAGGCCAUCUGGCAAUACAAUGCCGUUUUGGGAGCCACUGUUCAGGCCCCAAACGGCACCAUUUAAACCCCCUUAAAAUAGAGAAAUAAAGAAACCCUAAUGGGUUAUUCAGCUACCCUAAAGAAUAACGAAAAAGAAAGAAAACAAGCUUCUCCUCUCUCUUUUUUUUACGCCGUUCUCGGGCUAAACCAUCCACGGGUCCUCCGGUACCUCGACUCCGACGAGAACGACUAUGGGAUCACUGAGGUAAGUAUUCACUCCUUCUUAACUUGUUUUCAUUAUUUGUUAAAAGAAAGUAAAAAAGAACGAAAUCGAGAAAGAAAACAAUAAAAGUGCCGGAUCUACCUUUAAAGAAAACGAGUUUAGAGAAAAGUUCCCUUUUGUAUUCAAUAUUUGUAUGCUUUUUUUGUAUAUUCGAUCGUCCCCCUUUUUUACAAUGUUCUUUGGUCUUUUUAUAGUGUCUAUUUACAAUAAAAAGAAAAUAAAAUUCGAAAUAAAAAUCCACCAAUCGCCCUCGCUCUGCCUUUUUAUUUUUUUCUGUGCCCCUUUUUCGUUUUGUGGUCUGUUUUCUGCUGUGGUUGCUCGUCUUUGGCAGGUACUGUGUGUAGAGGUUGCGGAUGUGGCAUGUACGGAGGCGAAGGCGUGCGUACGAGGCUCGUGUGAGCUGUGCUACGUACGUGCGAGGGGACGUCUGUUGCGGCGCUGGUUGGGGCUGAUGCUAGGGUUUCCUCUUCUAUUGUAAUCGGGUCUGGGCUAGGUUGAUUUGGGCUUGUUAUAUUGGGUUUAGUUUGUAUUUCGGGCCUUUGUAUUAUUUUGGUAACUGAUCUGGGCCAAUUUGUAAAUGGACCUUUUCGAACUGAAUUUAAUAUUUUUCCUUUUUUGUUUUGAUUUUUUUGGUUUUUUUGAAUGGGCCCCGGGCAAAUUGGGCCUGUUACAACACUAUCCCUCGGACUUCUCGUAUAUGAAAUAAGCUAACUUUUGGUA